Molecule: long non-coding RNA, 2305 nt
Organism: Gordionus sp. m RMFG-2023
Lineage: Eukaryota; Metazoa; Nematomorpha; Gordioida; Chordodea; Parachordodidae
Exons: 4
Source: RefSeq, a predicted model, not a curated record
AUUUCUUUUAUUUUGCAACUUAUUUUAAUUUCAUACAGUUAUAUAUAAUUUAAAAACAGUUAAUGAGAUGGAUAUUAUACUAUUUACUAGACGAUUUACUCUCCUACUCUCUAUACCAAAUCAAAGAUUGCAAGAAAAGACAAAUUAAAAUUUUAUUUCAAUGAUGAUCUUGCUCCAUACCGUCCUAUUCCAUGGUAGAAGUCUGGGUUUUAAUGGUGGCAUACGAUCAAACGUCAUGUCUGGUCGAAAUGGAAGAUUACUAACUCUGCUUCAAAAAAAAUUAAUAAAAAAAACCUAUUGCUACAACCACAAGUUGCAUCGAUUCAAAAUUGAUAUACAAAAAGAAUAAUAAAAUUUGAUUUUAAAAAGAAUUAAUUUAAAUAGUUUCUUAAAACAAAAUACUUUCUUUUAUGGUGCCCCGGUUACGGUGGUACGUUUUUCGUUUUAAAUUAAAGUUAAAUGAUAAAAGUUUUAAAAAAAAAUUUUAAAAAUAUCCUUACCUUGAAUUCUUUAGUAAAAAUAAAAAGUAAACGAAUUACUUAUCAAAUUCGUCGUUCGAUAUUGGAGAUGAUAUAAGGACAAAUAAAAUUUUUUUGACUUUUCUUUUCGAUAGUCAAAAUUUUAUCCAAAUUUACAAAAUUAUAAAAGGUAAAAAAAUUUUAUUUAGAAUAAAUAUAACUUGUUAACUUCUUGUUUCUUUUAUGGCGCCCUGUUAUGUUUUUGUAAAAAAAAAAAGAAUAAAAUAUAGAAAAUUUGCCUAAAACUAAAAGAUAUAAAUUAAAUUAAAUUUGAAAUUGAUGACUACCUUAUUUAUUGAUUUGACUACCUAUUGUGACGAUUGUGUAAUCCAUUGAGAUGACUCUAUUUAUAUGACUACCUAUUGUGACGAUUAUUUAAUCCAUUGAGAUGACUCUAUUUAUAUGACUACCUAUUUACUAUCUAUUGUGAUGACUAUCUAACCUAUGGAGACUGCUUAACCUAUGGAGAUGACUACCUAUUAUGACUACCUAAUCUAUUGUGACUCCCUAAUCUAUUGUGAUGACUAUCUAACCUAUGGAGACUGCGUAACCUAUGGAGAUGACUAUCUAUUAUGACUACCUUAUUUAUUGUGACUGCCUAAUCUAUUGAUAUCCAAUGCCUAAUCUAUGGAGAUGUUAGCACGUUCUUUCAUGCAAAAAGCUUCUUUCUUCGUCCCGGCUCUGGAUGUUGGACUGGAAUAUGAUAACCAGCACCUAACCUAAUGUGACAACCUAGGAAGAACUGAUAUGGAAGUUGAACGAUAGGUUAUGAAUUCUAUUUUGUGAGACCAAUGAUAUUAAAGUGAAAUUAAAACAUAUGAAUUAAAAGGGAUUGAUUUAAAUAACCCUUAUAAGUAAUACUUAAUAUGAUAAAAAUGUUUUUGAAAUAAAGCUUUUGAAGACAAAAGGUUAUGUAAAAAUUAAACAUCAUUAUUUUAGAAAAAUAUUGUGUGAAAUUUAAAUUUUUUUUAAGAGAGGGAAAUGUGCAUAAUAUUUGCAUAUUUUAACCUCGGAGAUUGAAAAUAAAUAAAAAUAAAUUAAGUAUUAAAACGCUACUAAUUAAAUAUGGAAACGCUAAAAAAUGUAAAACGCAAAAAAAUAUAAAACGCUAAAAAUAUAAAACGCAUAAAACGCUAAAAGUAUAAAACGCUAUGAUUAACUUAACACCUAAAAAAUAAUAUAAUAAUUAUUUAUCAUUCCUUAUUUUGGAUUUUAUUCCUUAUUCCUUAUCAUUCCUUAUUACAUAUUUUAUUGUUCCGAAAUUCAAAAUUUUAUUCGUGCAUAUUAUUCAUAUAUUUGAUUUGAUCAACUAUUCCAAAUUACAUAUUCCGACUUAUUCCAAAUUCCAAUAUUCGACUGGAUUAAUUAUGAAACAUGAUAAUAACAAUUUUGAGAAAUGUGAACAACAUACGAUAAGGAUAUCAAACCAACGAUAACGUUCAACGAUUUUAUCAAACCUACGCGAUUGAUUCAAGCCUACAAAAAACGUACAAACUCACGCAACUCUAAUAAACGAUUUAUCAAACCUACGUGAUAGAAUCAAGCCUACGAGAACAUUUGAGACUUAUGUGCUAACCAAGAUGAAACCGAGUACAAUCAAAACGGGAAAAAACUUCUGGGACAACAAGCUCUCGAUGACUGCUGAGAAGAAGAUUAGUUCUUUGUAGAAGAGGGGGAAUGUUGAUUGAUUUAAAUUUGAAUAUUGUUUAUUUUAUAUAUUAACUAUUUAAGUUGAUUGUUUAAUAUGUUCAAUUAACUUUUUAUAUAUAUAUAUAUAUGUUUUUAGA